This is a long non-coding RNA of Rosa rugosa (rugosa rose), 1737 nucleotides long. RefSeq lists it as uncharacterized. The transcript is spliced from 8 exons. The record is from RefSeq and is a predicted model, not a curated record. NCBI's taxonomy places the organism in Eukaryota, Viridiplantae, Streptophyta, Magnoliopsida, Rosales, Rosaceae.
AUCAAGGACGAUAUAUUGGCAGGUUUGGAUGUGCCUCCAAAAACCACUCAUUCCCCCCUUAAAAUUGAAACUUGAAUUGCAUAGAGCGGGAACUUCCCCUCCUUGCUGCCUCAGCUCAAAAUUAAAGUGUGCAGAAUCAGACAACAUAACUUCAUUUAUGUGUUGUGUGAUUCAUGAAUACAAAAUAAAAAGAGCCAACUGCCCGGUGUUUGACAACUUAAGUUAGGGCUAGCAACUUGUGUAUAUCCUACUUCAUUUAUUUCAGUAUACAAAACACCAUGAAAACACGAUUUCUUCGUCAGUCUCCAUCUCUCCCCGAAACACAGAUACCGUCCUCUUCAUCCACAGCCAACCUUCAUCCAUUAAUCGAAGCGCGCCCAGCUACUCACCUAAGUGCCCAGUGAAUUUCACCCUCUCUCCACUGAAACCAAUUCCUCGGAUCCCUAAUCAUCAAUCGUAGAACAAUGGCGAAGCAAUCUAAAGCCAAGAAAUCGGAGAAUUUGGGAAAGUGUACCGUCACCCCCGUCCAGAUCGCCUUCCUCGUCAGCCAGUUUCUCUUUGAUAACAGCUACACCGAAGCCUGCUUUGUUUUCUGAACUGACGCCUCCUCACUCUUCUCUACGUCUCCGAUUCAAGAGGUGCCGAAGAGCCUGCUGAGUUUGUCUGAGAUUCUGAAAAGUACAAAGCAUUGGGGAGCAGAAGAUGAUUCGCGAAGCCAAUGGCGACCCCAACAAGGCUAACAAGCCGUUCAUGCGCUCCUCAUCGAGCAACCCCAAUAAAUAUUGAUUUCUUCACAUAAUAAACACCCAAUGGAAACCAAGGCCACCCAGAGUUCAUCAGUUGCUUCUUCUACGACGUCGUUUGGGAGCUCGAAGAAGACGGUGUGGGUUUAGACGGAGAGGAAGCAGGUCAUGACGGCCGCCGUGGAGAGAGGCUGGAACACCUUCCUGUUUCAGAGUUAGAAACUCGCCAAUGACUGGUCUUGUUUGUAGAAAGGCAAAAGGGGAGAAAGUUUCGGAAGUGGAGGGCUUUGUUUUGGGUUGUUUACUGUCUAUGUUUGCCUUGCUUUAUGCUGAUGGAUAUAUCUAGUUUGUCUGCUUACCAAAAUGUUGGUCUACUUCAAAAGAAAAGAAGCACUGAAGUUUUAUUUCCUCAAUAUAACCCCACGCCUGAUGAGAGGUGCCCAUCUACAAUAUCCUUCAUCUCUUGGAAACGGAGCAAGGAAUAUUUCAGCAGGUUUUAAAAGGCGAACUCGAUUUCAUAUCAGAACCUUGUCCCAGCAUAUCUGAAAGUGCCAAGGAUUUGGUCAGGAGAAUGCUUGUGAGGGACCCAAAAAAGCGGAUAACAGCCAUGAAGUACUUCUAAAGGUACUUGUGAAUAGCAAAGAAGCUUGUGAUCAUGGGCGAAAGGUGGGAGGCUACAUUAUAUUUUUUUUUCUUUUGAGGUUUGGUACUUCAUAUGGUAUUGCUAGUAGAAGUGAGAAGGGGAGCAGAGGUAGAAACUCGGGGAGCUUCGGAAAGAUGAUGAAGUGUGUUUGCUCGGGAGAGCAGUUAAGAGCACCAGAUGAUUUGGUAUUUUCAGAUGUGGAAUGAUUGGGCUAAGUUUGUCGUCAAUACAUAUGUCUAGGAGCUAUUAGAAUGGUUUUUUGUGUUUUAAUGUAUAGAUGAUUAGGAAAUACAUCAUUUGUAGUACAUUUGACUAUAAUGUAUGAAUUGUACAUUUGAAUAUAUGGUUACU